GACGAACGCUGGCGGCGUGCUUAACACAUGCAAGUCGAACGGAAAGGCCCUGCUUUUGUGGGGUGCUCGAGUGGCGAACGGGUGAGUAACACGUGAGUAACCUGCCCUUGACUUUGGGAUAACUUCAGGAAACUGGGGCUAAUAUCGGAUAGGAGCUCCUGCUGCAUGGUGGGGGUUGGAAAGUUUCGGCGGUUGGGGCUGGACUCGCGGCUUAUCAGCUUGUUGGUGGGGUAGUGGCUUACCAAGGCUUUGACGGGUAGGCGGCCUGAGAGGGUGACCGGCGACAAUGGGACUGAGAGACGGCCCAGACGCGUACGGGAGGCAGCAGUGGGGAGUAUUACACAACGGGCGGAAGCCUGAGACAGCAACGCCGCGUGCGGGAUGACGGCCUUCGGGUUGUAAACCGCUUUCGCCUGUGACGAGGCGUUAGUGACGGUAAUGGGUAAAGAAGCACCGGCUAACUACGUG
RNAcentral lists this ribosomal RNA (468 nucleotides) under uncultured bacterium. RNAcentral's name for it is "partial 16S ribosomal RNA". It matches the Rfam family "Bacterial small subunit ribosomal RNA", at positions 28 to 507 of the family's 1533-position model. The record is from RNAcentral.